GAUGAACGCUAGCGAUAGGCUUAACACAUGCAAGUCGAGGGGUAACGUGUUGGAAGCUUGCUUCCGAUGACGACGACCGGCGGAUGGGUGCGUAACGCGUAUGCAACUUGCCUCACAGUGGAGAAUAACCCGGAGAAAUCCGGACUAAUACUCCAUACACUCUUAAGUACGCCUGUACAUGAGAGGAAAGAUUUAUCGCUGUGAGAUAGGCAUGCGUCCUAUUAGGUAGUUGGUGAGGUAACGGCUCACCAAGCCGACGAUAGGUAGGGGUGCUGAGAGGGAGAUCCCCCACAUGGGGACUGAGACACGGCCCAAACUCCUACGGGAGGCAGCAGUGAGGAAUAUUGGUCAAUGGAGGAAACUCUGAACCAGCCAAGUCGCGUGAAGGAAGAAUGUCCUGAGGAUUGUAAACUUCUUUAGCGAGCGAGUAAGGACUUCCACGUGAUGGGAGUUUGAAAGUAGCUCGAGAAUAAGUAUCGGCUAACUCCGUG
RNAcentral lists this ribosomal RNA (491 nucleotides) under uncultured bacterium. RNAcentral's name for it is "partial 16S ribosomal RNA". It matches the Rfam family "Bacterial small subunit ribosomal RNA", at positions 28 to 507 of the family's 1533-position model. The record is from RNAcentral.